CGGCCGGUUACCCUUCUGUUUCCGGCGGCUGCUUGUGGUGCUGGCGGGCUUCAGGGUGCCCUCUGGUGGAGAAGCCGACCUCCCUCGACCGACUGUUUGUUGGGUACUGCUGUAGAUGCCCUAGGGAAGUGCCGCCCUUUUGUCCGCCCUCGAGAAACACUUAAUGACCAGAAGCGAGGUACCACCAUGUCUUAAAAAAACAAGAUGAGCUCCUCAACUCCACAACCAACCUCAAACUCCAAAUCGGAUGAAUCUGAUGGAUUAGUCUCAGAUGCCAAUAGAGUGAUGUCUCAGAUGUCAAUAAACCAUGGACUUUCAGGAAGACAACUUAACCAAGAGCCUGCAGAAGGUAGCUAUGGACCUGUCAACUGCCUUCUCACUUGAAGUUGUGCUCUUUAAUCAAGGAAAAUGCUUAUACGAGCUACCGUCUGGAAUAAGCUUCCUUGUCUUACCUGAGCAGCCUCUUCAGGAUGGGCUCAGGCUAGAACAAAAAGACACACUGCUUCUCUGAGUUGUGGAGAGAUGGCAUACUCAAAGCCAAGUCUGUCUGCCUGCAUGAUCCUGAGAAAGAGGCAGGCAUAAUCAUUUGGACUGAAGGAAAGGAUCACGUCAGUAGAGGGACUUGAGAGUGAAGUCUGGCUUUCCGGUGUAUAGGUAGAUCUCAGCGCAGAAGGCACCUGACUGGGGAAGUCCUCAGGAAAGCCCUGUUCCUUCAGGCUCUCUUGUCCCUGACCUGAAGGAGAGGAGCAGCUUUCAAGAACAGCAAAAGAUCAGCAGUGGAGGGUUAGGGAGGAAGAAUGACCUGUCCAUGAAACCCAGGCACAACUGUUCAUUUUUCUUGUUAGAUUUUUAAAAUUUUAUUGGUACAUUUUAGAUAUACAUAAUAUUCAUUGUAGACAGUUUGCAUCUGUACAUAUCUUGCUUUUUCCCCAUUGUCCUCCCCUCUCUUUAACCCCCUUUCCCCUCAUUUACAAAAGCUUUGUUUGCAUUUUUUCCUUUUAUUUUCUUGUCCUUUCCUUUCCCCCUACACCCUCAUUUCCCUUAUCAUUUGAACAUCUUCUUCACAUUUCCCAAUAUCUGCUAAACAUUUUGGCCCUUACUGGUUUACAACACCAGAAAACCAAUGUGGUAUUUAAACGUGUGUCUCAUUUAUUUCACUUAAGAGUAUGGUUUCAAGGUA
Long non-coding RNA from Fukomys damarensis (Damara mole-rat), 1180 nucleotides. RefSeq lists it as uncharacterized. The transcript has 4 exons. NCBI's taxonomy places the organism in Eukaryota, Metazoa, Chordata, Mammalia, Rodentia, Bathyergidae. The record is from RefSeq and is a predicted model, not a curated record.